This 1017-nucleotide ribosomal RNA is filed under the name Triticum aestivum (bread wheat). RNAcentral describes it as "partial small subunit ribosomal RNA". Lineage: Eukaryota; Viridiplantae; Streptophyta; Magnoliopsida; Poales; Poaceae. The record is from RNAcentral.
AUGAUGCAAGCCAGAUUCGAGUUAUUACGACGACGAUCCAUGGCACCAACUUGGCAACAAGGUAUGAAGCUACUGGGAUCGGGCGGCGAAGCGCUCCACGUUGGGGUCGGACAGGUUGAUCCCAACCAUGGCCUCCCCGAGCCCGGCGCUGACGUUGGCCAGGAUCUCCGGGUCGCUGUAGUGCGUCACGGCCUGCACGAUGGCGCGGGCGCGACGCGCCGGGUCCCCGCUCUUGAAGAUGCCGGAGCCGACGAACACCCCGUCGCACCCGAGCUGCAUCAUCAGGGCGGCGUCCGCGGGGGUGGCCACGCCGCCGGCGGCGAACUGCACGACCGGGAGGCGGCCCAGCUGCUUGGUCUGCAUCACCAGGUCGUACGGCGCGGCGAUCUGCUUCGCGUAGCUGAAGACCUCGUCCUCGUCCAUGUUGCGCAGGGCCCGGACGGCGCCCAUCACGGAGCGGACGUGGCGGACGGCCUCCACCACGUUGCCGGUGCCGGCCUCCCCCUUGGUGCGGAUCAUGGCGGCGCCCUCGCGGAUGCGGCGGAGCGCCUCGCCCAGGUCGCGGCAGCCGCACACGAAGGGGACGCGGAAGUUGUGCUUGUUGAUGUGGUGGGCGUCGUCGGCCAGGGUCAGGACCUCGCUCUCGUCCACGUAGUCCACGCCGAUGGCCUCCAGGAUCUGGGCCUCCACGAAGUGCCCGAUGCGGGCCUUGGCCAUCACCGGGAUGGUGACGGCGCGCUUGAUGUCGCGGAUGAGGGCCGGGUCGGACAUGCGGGCCACGCCGCCCUGGGCGCGGAUGUCGGCGGGCACGCGCUCCAGCGCCAUGACGGCGCAGGCGCCGGCCUCCUCGGCGAGGCGCGCCUGCUCGGCGGUGACCACGUCCAUGAUGACGCCGCCGCGCAGCAUCUGGGCGAGGCCCACCUUGACGGAGAAGGUGGCGGCGGCAGGCUUGGCGGAGGGCUCCACCACCGCCUUGUUGUUUCCGUACAGGGCCACCACGCCGUCGGAAGCCAUUGA